UACGUAGGCAGCGAGCGUUGUUCGGAGUUACUGGGCGUAAAGCGUGCGUAGGCGGUCCCACAAGUCUGUUGUGAAAUCUCCCGGCUCAACUGGGAGGGUGCGGUGGAAACUGUGGGGCUGGAGUGUGGGAGAGGUAGGCGGAAUUCCUGGUGUAGCGGUGAAAUGCGUAGAUAUCAGGAGGAACACCUGCGGUGUAGACGGCUUACUGGACCACUACUGACGCUGAGGCACGAAAGCGUGGGGAGCAAACAGG
RNAcentral lists this ribosomal RNA (253 nucleotides) under uncultured bacterium. RNAcentral's name for it is "partial 16S ribosomal RNA". It matches the Rfam family "Bacterial small subunit ribosomal RNA", at positions 524 to 776 of the family's 1533-position model. The record is from RNAcentral.